GAUGAAGAACGUAGCGAAAUGCGAUAAGUAAUGUGAAUUGCAGAAUUCAGUGAAUCAUCGAAUCUUUGAACGCACAUUGCGCCCGCCAGUAUUCUGGCGGGCAUGCCUGUUCGAGCGUCAUUACAACCCUCAGGCCCCCGGGCCUGGCGUUGGGGAUCGGCGGAGCCCCCCGUGGGCACACGCCGUCCCCCAAAUGCAGUGGCGGUCCCGCCGCAGCUUCCAUCGCGUAGUAGCUAACACCUCGCGACUGGAGAGCGGCGCGGCUACGCCGUAAAACACCCAACUCUUCUGAAGUUGACCUCGAAUCAGGUAGGAAUACCCGCUGAACUUAAGCAUAUCAAUAAGCGGAGGA
Molecule: unclassified non-coding RNA, 352 nt
Filed under: soil metagenome
Description: partial contains 5.8S ribosomal RNA, internal transcribed spacer 2, and large subunit ribosomal RNA
Rfam family: 5.8S ribosomal RNA (bases 1-120)
Source: RNAcentral